GUCUGCUUGUGCAGCCAGUCCCUUCGGGUGUCGGCCACCUUGGCGUGCGCUUUGGCGACCUUCUUUCGGGCCUUGGCCCGGUUCUUCGAUCCCUUGGCCUUGCGGGACAGCUCCCGCUGCGCGGCCUUGAGCUUUCUCUCCGCCUUGCGCAGGAAGCGCGGAUUGUCGAUCACCGAGCCGUCCGAGAGGACGGCGUAGGUGGUCAGGCCGAGGUCGAUACCGACCUCGGAGGAUGCCUCAGGCAGGUGGUCGGAUUCCACGUCCACCACGAACGAGGCGUGAUACCGGCCAGCCGCAUCCAGCACGACCGUCACCGACGACGGAUCGGCCGGAAGUGCGCGGGACCACCUCACCCGCACGUCGCCGAUCUUCGCCAGAUUCAGCUUCCUGUUGGAUCGGAUGCGGAAGCCGUUGCGGGUGAACCGCAGCGACUGCCGGCUGUCCUUCCGCGACUUGAACCGCGGCAAUCCGACCGGGCGGCCCGCGCGCUCCCCGGACACCGAGUCGAAGAAGUUCCGGUAGGCCGUAUCCAGAUCCCGAAGGGACUGGAUCAGCGGAUCCACACCCACCGAGGAAAGCCACGCCCGCUCC
This 591-nucleotide non-coding RNA is filed under the name Kitasatospora aureofaciens. The record is from RNAcentral. Lineage: Bacteria; Bacillati; Actinomycetota; Actinomycetes; Kitasatosporales; Streptomycetaceae.